This 506-nucleotide ribosomal RNA is filed under the name uncultured bacterium. Its description in RNAcentral is "partial 16S ribosomal RNA". It matches the Rfam family "Bacterial small subunit ribosomal RNA", at positions 899 to 1397 of the family's 1533-position model. The record is from RNAcentral.
ACUCAAAUGAAUUGACGGGGGCCCGCACAAGCGGUGGAACAUGUGGUUUAAUUCGAUGCAACGCGAAGAACCUUAUCCUGGACUUGACAUCUACGGAAUCUUGCAGAAAUGCAGGAGUGCCUUCGGGAAUCGUAAGACAGGUGGUGCAUGGUUGUCGUCAGCUCGUGUCGUGAGAUGUUGGGUUAAGUCCCGCAACGAGCGCAACCCUCGUCGUCUGUUGCUACAGGCUGAAAAGUGCUGAGAACUCAGGCGAGACUGCCGGUGACAAACCGGAGGAAGGUGGGGAUGACGUCAAAUCCUCAUGCCCCUUAUGUCCAGGGCUACACACGUGUUACAAUGGGACGGAACAACGGGCAGCCUGCCAGCGAUGGUUAGCCAAUCCCUUAAAUCCGCCCUCAGUUCGGAUUGGAGUCUGCAACUCGACUCCAUGAAGUCGGAAUCGCUAGUAAACGCGGAUCAGCAACGCCGCGUUGAAUACGUUCCCGGGCCUUGUACACACCGCCCGU